This 74-nucleotide transfer RNA is filed under the name Nanobdellota archaeon. RNAcentral's name for it is "tRNA-Ala". It matches the Rfam family "tRNA". Rfam says of the family: Transfer RNA (tRNA) molecules are approximately 80 nucleotides in length. Their secondary structure includes four short double-helical elements and three loops (D, anti-codon, and T loops). Further hydrogen bonds mediate the characteristic L-shaped molecular structure. tRNAs have two regions of fundamental functional importance: the anti-codon, which is responsible for specific mRNA codon recognition, and the 3' end, to which the tRNAs corresponding amino acid is attached (by aminoacyl-tRNA synthetases). tRNAs cope with the degeneracy of the genetic code in two manners: having more than one tRNA (with a specific anti-codon) for a particular amino acid; and 'wobble' base-pairing, i.e. permitting non-standard base-pairing at the 3rd anti-codon position. Lineage: Archaea; Nanobdellati; Nanobdellota. The record is from RNAcentral.
GGGCCGAUGGUCUAGCUCGGUAUGACGCAACGUUCGCAACGUUGAAAUCGUGGGUUCAAAUCCCACUCGGUCCA